UACGGAGGAUGCGAGCGUUAUCCGGAUUUAUUGGGUUUAAAGGGUGCGUAGGCGGACUGUCAAGUCAGCGGUAAAAUUGAGAGGCUCAACCUCUUCCCGCCGUUGAAACUGGUGGUCUUGAGUGGAUGAGAAGUACGCGGAAUGCGUGGUGUAGCGGUGAAAUGCAUAGAUAUCACGCAGAACUCCGUUUGCGAAGGCAGCGUACCGGCAUCCAACUGACGCUGAGGCACGAAAGCGUGGGGAUCAAACAGG
RNAcentral lists this ribosomal RNA (252 nucleotides) under uncultured bacterium. Its description in RNAcentral is "partial 16S ribosomal RNA". It matches the Rfam family "Bacterial small subunit ribosomal RNA", at positions 524 to 776 of the family's 1533-position model. The record is from RNAcentral.